GACUAGAUGGCUCAGUGGUAGAGUAUCAAGUAUAUUUAGAAGGUCUUGGGUUCAAACCCUGUUCUGGCCA
This is a non-coding RNA of Russula dissimulans, 70 nucleotides long. NCBI's taxonomy places the organism in Eukaryota, Fungi, Basidiomycota, Agaricomycetes, Russulales, Russulaceae. The record is from the annotation of a GenBank genome assembly.